This is a ribosomal RNA of Lepisosteus oculatus (spotted gar), 133 nucleotides long. It matches the Rfam family "Eukaryotic large subunit ribosomal RNA", at positions 3014 to 3154 of the family's 3401-position model. NCBI's taxonomy places the organism in Eukaryota, Metazoa, Chordata, Actinopteri, Semionotiformes, Lepisosteidae. The record is from Rfam.
CAAUAGUAAUCCUGCUCAGUACGAGAGGAGCCCCAGGUUCAGACACGGGCUUGGCUGAGGAGCCAAUGGGGAGAAGCUGCCAUCUGUGGGAGGGUGACUGAAUCCCUCCAAGUCUUAAUUCCCCUCUAAACGG